GAUGAACGCUGGCGGUAUGCUUAACACAUGCAAGUCGAACGGUCACUUCGGUGAUAGUGGCGGACGGGUGAGUAACGCGUGAGAAUCUGUCUUCAGGUCGGGGACAACAGUUAGAAAUGACUGCUAAUACCGGAUGUGCCUUUGGGUGAAAGAUUUAUUGCCUGAAAAAGAGCUCGCGUCAGAUUGGCUAGUAGGUGGUGUAAGAGACUACCUAGGCUCCGAUCUGUAGCUGGUCUGAGAGGACGAUCAGCCACACUGGAACUGAGACACGGUCCAGACUCCUAUGGGAGGCAGCAGUGGGGAAUUUUCCGCAAUGGGCGAAAGCCUGACGGAGCAAUACCGCGUGAGGGACGAAGGCUUUUGGGUCGUAAACCUCUUUUCUCAAGGAAGAUGAUGACGGUACUUGAGGAAUAAGCAUCGGCUAACUCUGUG
RNAcentral lists this ribosomal RNA (432 nucleotides) under uncultured bacterium. Its description in RNAcentral is "partial 16S ribosomal RNA". It matches the Rfam family "Bacterial small subunit ribosomal RNA", at positions 28 to 507 of the family's 1533-position model. The record is from RNAcentral.